Canis lupus familiaris (dog) is the source of this 2097-nucleotide long non-coding RNA. RefSeq lists it as uncharacterized. The transcript has 3 exons. Lineage: Eukaryota; Metazoa; Chordata; Mammalia; Carnivora; Canidae. The record is from RefSeq and is a predicted model, not a curated record.
GUACUAUCUGGUAUACACGUGGAAUAUUUUAGACUCCAGUGGUUCUUCCUUAAUUCUGCCUAUAAAAUUAAGCUGAUUUGUUGCAGAACUGCAGCCUGGAGUAGGCCACUGCAACCCAAAGGUUAAUCUGCAAAGGGUAAUCUGCAGUAUCAUCAACAUCACAUAAUAUUUCCAUUAGGAUCAUCUCAGUUCAUUCUCACCAGGACAACGUUGCUCACUGCAUCUUCUCACUUCUUCACCUGUGCCUUCACAUUGCUGCCCUGUUACUGCAGCACCUUGACAAGUCCUCAUUCGCCUUUCCCAGCCGCCAUCACAGGAUUUGGAACAUCCGCUCCAAUGACCCCACUGAUUCCACUGACCAUUUGCUGAAAGAAAUGUGUCAUGGUCAAUGGCAGUAGCCUACUGCAACUGUUUUAGGAAUUUGAAAAUCUGAGGACCAUUAUUGUUUGUUUAGUUUUUAUUAGUCUACCACGAUGAAUAAGCCCUAUUCAAACAUUUGACUUGCUAGUCAAAGAUAGAGCACUGUGAGUGUCACAAGUUUAUAUAAGUUUGUCAGAAUCUUCAAAUGGACACUGAAACUUAUUUGUAAAAAGUGCAAGUUCAGUGCUGACCUGGAUCAACUUAAUCUAGAUUUAAUCUAAGAAUCUCCAGAAUUUUGUUGCUUUAUUACUGUGACAUAUAGUAGAAUGAGCUCUAGUACAAUUGAUUUCAUUUACCAGAAUACAUAAUUAUCUAAUUAUUCCAUGACUGCCUCACAUGGUUCUGUCACAUUUUAUAAAUGGCAGGCAUUCUUUAAAUGUAGUGAUCAGGCCUCACCUGUACACUCAGGGUUAUAGCACUCUCUGCUUUCUGCCCAUGGCCCUCUGCAUUCAGAGCCCCCAUGAGCUGCUGCAGUACACUGCCUGCUUCUCUGCUGGGUCCCAUUCGAGCAUGUCACUGAGCACUGACUCCAUGGACUCCACUCUUGCCACUGUCCAUCAACUGCCAAAGCAGAUAGAGAGACACUGUAAGGAGAUAUUCCAAUAGAGAAGGCUGUAGAGAAAGUACAAGUAAAAUUAACCUUGGAGAUGAGUCCCAACCAAGGGACUCUCAGUGAAUACAAUGGAAAAUCAUACUGGCACUAGAUUCUUUUACUACCCUACCCCCCAAACUACUAUUACCUUAUUUUCUCACUUCUAUUUCCUUUUAUGUAUCCAAUAUCUCUUUUGAGCCACUUAUUGCUUCAAAAUACGUAUUGAUUAGUCAAUAAUGCAAGACCUUGGGCUAGGAGGCAAGUACACAGAGCAGUGAAUGAAAUAAAUACUGACCAAUAACUCAUAGAGCUCAUGUUUUAAAGAAGAAACCCCUAUAACGAGUUAAGCACUUAAUAACAUGUUAAAUUAAUUAUAUAGUGCUGCUUCAAAGGAUAAUUUAAAGACAUUUUAAGAGCUUGGAGGGCCUGGGGAGUCUUCCUUGACAAAGCAAAUUUUCAGACAAGCCUUGAAGAAUAAUAAGGGAUAAUGUAAUAAAUGUUAUGAGAAAUACAGAAAUUAAAAGAUUAUGAAUCCCACCCUCAAAAAUCUUGUAAUUUAGUAGAAGAAUACAUUAUGCAGACAAAUAAGUAAAUAAAAGGUUAAAAGCAGUAACAUCUUAAUAUGGUACAUAAAGCCUUUCAGAUGGCACAUCAUAACUACUUAGGGAUAAUUAUGUUAGAUUAAUAUGGUAAGAUUUGGAUAAUUUAGACAACAGAGACAGCAUUCACAAAGGCAUAAUCCCAUAGGCCACAAAAUGUAAGUAUGCAAAGGAAUCAGGCAAAAAUAUUUACCCAAUUUAGAAUGCAUAAACUAGAAUAUAAGUGUUAUAAAUGCACUCAUAUAUGACUGUCUACUUUUCCCCAUGUCAUUCCAUGGUACUUAGUUUCAUUAUAGUGAAAAAGAAUUCAUCAUAAAUCCAAAGUUCCAACAUAAGAUGAUACUGCUGUGAAAACCUAUCCACCCAUCCAAACAAACCAAAAAGCUUAGCAGAAUAUGUGUAAGUGCUGUCAGCCUAAUUUCAGGCUUUGAAAGUAGCUAUUAAGAAAGAAGAUUGUUUAAUAGGUAUCUAGAUCUACUUAAUAAA